AAUGCAAGUAUUGCAUAUAGAGUUCUGUUGACCAUCUCUAUGACAGUUGCAUCGAAAAGAAGUUUUUCUAAGUUGAAGCUAUUGAAGUCCUAUAUGCAUACUACUAUGACACAACAAAGACUCAACGAUUUGGCCACAAUAGCACUUGAGAGUGAAGUGUUGGAGAAAAUUGAUUACGAGGAUAUCAUUAAAGAUUUCAUUUCAAGAAUACUAAAAGAAUGA
This 222-nucleotide ribosomal RNA is filed under the name Triticum aestivum (bread wheat). Its description in RNAcentral is "partial small subunit ribosomal RNA". Lineage: Eukaryota; Viridiplantae; Streptophyta; Magnoliopsida; Poales; Poaceae. The record is from RNAcentral.